GAAUGAACGCUGGCGGCGUGCUUAACACAUGCAAGUCGUACGAGAACGCUUCAGCUUGCUGUAGCUAGUAAAGUGGCGAACGGGUGAGUAACGCGUGGGUAAUCUACCUUCGAAUUGGGGAUAACAUUGCGAAAGCGAUGCUAAUACCGGAUAAUAUCUAAGAAUCCUCGGGUUUUUAGAUCAAAGGUGGUCUCUACAUGUAAGCUAUUGUUUGGAGAUGAGCCCGCGUACCAUUAGCUUGUUGGUAGGGUAAAGGCCUACCAAGGCGACGAUGGUUAGCUGGUCUGAGAGGAUGAUCAGCCACACUGGAACUGACACACGGUCCAGACUCCUACGGGAGGCAGCAGUGAGGAAUUUUGCGCAAUGGGGGAAACCCUGACGCAGCAACGCCGCGUGAGUGAUGAAGGCUUUCGGGUCGUAAAGCUCUGUCAAGUGGGAAGAAACUAUAGAAUGCCAAUACCAUUCUGUACUGACGGUACCACUGAAGGAAGCACCGGCUAACUCCGUGCCAGCAGCCGCGGUAAUACGGGGGGUGCAAGCGUUAUUCGGAAUCAUUGGGCGUAAAGAGCGCGUAGGCGGUCUCUUAAGUCAGGUGUGAAAGCCCGAGGCUCAACCUCGGAAGUGCACUUGAAACUAAGAGACUUGAGUAUGGGAGAGGGAAGUGGAAUUCCUGGUGUAGCGGUGAAAUGCGUAGAUAUCAGGAGGAACACCGGUGGCGAAGGCGACUUCCUGGACCAAUACUGACGCUGAGGCGCGAAGGCGUGGGUAGCAAACAGGAUUAGAUACCCUGGUAGUCCACGCAGUAAACGGUGAACACUAGGUGUAGCGGGUAUUGACCCCUGCUGUGCCGCAGUUAACGCAUUAAGUGUUCCGCCUGGGGAGUACGGCCGCAAGGUUAAAACUCAAAGGAAUUGACGGGGCCCGCACAAGCGGUGGAGCAUGUGGUUUAAUUCGACGCAACGCGAAGAACCUUACCUGGAUUUGACAUCCCGGGAAUCCUAUCGAAAGACUGGAGUGCCCUUCGGGGAACCCGGAGACAGGUGCUGCAUGGCUGUCGUCAGCUCGUGUCGUGAGAUGUUGGGUUAAGUCCCGCAACGAGCGCAACCCCUAUCUUUAGUCACCAUCAUUCAGUUGGGGACUCUAAAGAUACUGCCCCGGUCAACGGGGAGGAAGGUGGGGAUGACGUCAAGUCCUCAUGGCCUUUAUGUCCAGGGCUACACACGUGCUACAAUGGGCAGUACAAAGGGUAGCGACAUCGCGAGGUGAAGCCAAUCC
RNAcentral lists this ribosomal RNA (1275 nucleotides) under metagenome. Its description in RNAcentral is "bacterial SSU rRNA". It matches the Rfam family "Bacterial small subunit ribosomal RNA", at positions 27 to 1274 of the family's 1533-position model. The record is from RNAcentral.